This 397-nucleotide ribosomal RNA is filed under the name uncultured bacterium. RNAcentral's name for it is "bacterial SSU rRNA". It matches the Rfam family "Bacterial small subunit ribosomal RNA", at positions 361 to 776 of the family's 1533-position model. The record is from RNAcentral.
AUAUUGCGCAAUGGAGGAAACUCUGAUGCAGCGACGCCGCGUGAGGGAAGACGGUCUUCGGAUUGUAAACCUCUGUCUUUGGGGAAGAAAAUGACGGUACCCAAAGAGGAAGCUCCGGCUAACUACGUGCCAGCAGCCGCGGUAAUACGUAGGGAGCGAGCGUUGUCCGGAAUUACUGGGUGUAAAGGGAGCGUAGGCGGGCGAGAAAGUUGAAUGUUAAAUCUACCGGCUUAACUGGUAGCUGCGUUCAAAACUUCUUGUCUUGAGUGAAGUAGAGGCAGGCGGAAUUCCUAGUGUAGCGGUGAAAUGCGUAGAUAUUAGGAGGAACACCAGUGGCGAAGGCGGCUCACUGGACUGUAACUGACGUUGAGGCUCGAAAGCGUGGGGAGCAAACAGG